CCUACGGGAGGCAGCAGUGGGGGAUAUUGCACAAUGGGGGAAACCCUGAUGCAGCGACGCCGCGUGAGUGAAGAAGUAUUUCGGUAUGUAAAGCUCUAUCAGCAGGGAAGAAAAAAGACGGUACCUGACUAAGAAGCCCCGGCUAACUACGUGCCAGCAGCCGCGGGAAUACGUAGGGGGCCAGCGUUAUCCGGAUUUACUGGGUGUAAAGGGAGCGUAGACGGGAAUACAAGUCGAGAGUGAAAUACCCGGGCUCAACCUGGGAACUGCUUUGGAAACUGGAGGGCUAGAGUGCGGGAGAGGUAAGCGGAAUGCGUAGUGUAGCGGUGAAAUGCGUAGAUAUUAGGAGGAACACCAGUGGCGAAGGCGGCUUACUGGACAGUAACUGACGUUGAGGCUCGAAAGCGUGGGGAGCAAACAGGAUUAGAUACCCCUGUAGUC
Molecule: ribosomal RNA, 441 nt
Filed under: uncultured bacterium
Lineage: Bacteria
Description: partial 16S ribosomal RNA
Rfam family: Bacterial small subunit ribosomal RNA
Source: RNAcentral